This 495-nucleotide ribosomal RNA is filed under the name uncultured bacterium. RNAcentral's name for it is "partial 16S ribosomal RNA". It matches the Rfam family "Bacterial small subunit ribosomal RNA", at positions 28 to 523 of the family's 1533-position model. The record is from RNAcentral.
GAUGAACGCUAGCGGGAGGCCUAACACAUGCAAGCCGAGCGGUAGAGAUUCUUCGGAAUCUUGAGAGCGGCGUACGGGUGCGGAACACGUGUGCAACCUGCCUUUAUCAGGGGGAUAGCCUUUCGAAAGGAAGAUUAAUACCCCAUAAUAUAUUGAAUGGCAUCAUUUGAUAUUGAAAACUCCGGUGGAUAGAGAUGGGCACGCGCAAGAUUAGAUAGUUGGUGAGGUAACGGCUCACCAAGUCUACGAUCUUUAGGGGGCCUGAGAGGGUGAUCCCCCACACUGGUACUGAGACACGGACCAGACUCCUACGGGAGGCAGCAGUGAGGAAUAUUGGACAAUGGGUGCGAGCCUGAUCCAGCCAUCCCGCGUGAAGGACGACGGCCCUAUGGGUUGUAAACUUCUUUUGUAUAGGGAUAAACCUAGAUACGUGUAUCUAGCUGAAGGUACUAUACGAAUAAGCACCGGCUAACUCCGUGCCAGCAGCCGCCGCUG